CAGCCGUAAACUAUGCUCGCUAGGUGUCAGGGACGGUGCGACCGUUUCUGGUGCCGCAGGGAAGCCGUGAAGCGAGCCACCUGGGAAGUACGGUCGCAAGGCUGAAACUUAAAGGAAUUGGCGGGGGAGCACUACAACGGGUGGAGCCUGCGGUUUAAUUGGACUCAACGCCGGAAACUCACCGGGGGCGACAGCAAUAUGUAGGUCAAGCUGAAGACUUUGCCGGAUUAGCUGAGAGGAGGUGCAUGGCGUAGACGUCU
This 260-nucleotide ribosomal RNA is filed under the name uncultured archaeon. RNAcentral's name for it is "partial 16S ribosomal RNA". It matches the Rfam family "Archaeal small subunit ribosomal RNA", at positions 748 to 1009 of the family's 1478-position model. The record is from RNAcentral.